GUGGUUCAGCUUCAAGCCAAAAGAAAUCCUCUGCCUAAAGAAUUCCUCUUAGAUCUUACUCCGGAAGGGCAACUCUGAUUUUCUCUAAUUCCAGGCGAUCAUUCUCACAGAUUACGGUAUUGCAAAUCCCAAAUUAUGGAAUUCAAUUCCUCCUCUCCCAAAACCAUCUCUGUGGUUUCCACUUUUGCCACUCCCUUCGACAAUAAUUCCCCUCCAGUCAACGGCACCCUCAAUUCUCAAACCCGCAAGCCAAUUGCUUUAUGGCCAGGAAUGUACCAUUCCCCUGUCACCAGUGCUCUCUGGGAAGCAAGGUCCAAGAUCUUUGAGAGGCUUCUUGACCCACCUAAAGAUGCACCUCCACAGAGUGAAUUGCUUACCAAAACUCCAAAGCAAAGCCGUACAAGCAUCUUGUACAAUUUUUCUUCUGAUUAUAUACUUAGAGAGCAGUAUAGGGAUCCUUGGAAUGAGGUCAGGAUUGGGAAGUUGCUCGAGGACCUUGAUGCUUUAGCUGGCACCAUUUCUGUCAAGGUACUAAUUACAUUCAUUUCCUCUUCUAUUUUUGCUUUCCAAUAAAAAAAUUGUAUCUGGGUUGUAAUUUAAAUUUCUUUGCCUGAAUUGGGUUUUUGGCAUGCUGUUGUGGUUAAUAAUGAAUUUUGAUUUUCAGUAGUAUGAUAUGCCAUGGCCUUGGUUUAGUUGUACCCUUGUAGGUUGAUCAGCUAAUGGAAGUCCACUUUUGUGCCUGAGGUUUUUGAUAAUUGUAGAGUAAUCAAUUUUGUGGUAGAAAUUGGUUCUGAUUUUCCAAUGUGGCACAGUUGUGGAACAAUCAGGUGCUUCUGCCUUUCCUUUAUUGAUUAAAUGUGUGUUGUGUAUUAGCACUGUUCUGAUGAUGAUAGCACAACAAGGCCACUCUUGCUUGUCACUGCUUCUGUUGACAAAAUUGUCCUGAGGAAGCCAAUCAGUGUUGACAUUGAUCUCAACAUAGUUGGUUCUGUUAUAUGGGUUGGCCGGUCGUCAAUUGAAAUUCAACUGGAAGUCAUUCAAUCCGCCAAAGGUAUUUAAUUUGCAAUUUGCUAUCACUCUGGAGAUUUGAUAUGGUUAAAGAAUAUAACAAAAAACUGUAACACCAGAAUUUGCCGUGACUGAGUCUGUUCUCGAGAUAAAACAAUAUUUGUUUUUUAUCUGACGGGUUCAGACUUUGUAGUUGUAUUUUAUAGUUGUUUAUAAUGUAAGAUUCACAUAACUUCCUAAAGAAAUCUUAUAUAAUUCAUUCAAUCAAAACUCUGCCAAUACAUAAUUUUGAAGCAUUUGGUGAAAGGAAAUGUGAGUUUUAAUUUCUGUCCUGUUAAAACGUAAUCAUUUUUAACUUGUACAUUCUCAAUAAUUGAAUUGAAUUUUAGAUUUUUUGUUUUCAUAUCAUCUAAAUAUUUUCUUUCAAGGAACAGAAAAAAAGAACUAAAGAAUGUUUUGCAGAGGGCUCUGAUACUUCAGACUCAGUAGCUUUGACGGCAAACUUUAUAUUUGUGGCCCGUGACUCCAAGACUGGGAAAGCUGCUCCAGUGAACCACCUGUCACCAGAAACUCAAGAAGAAAAGUUACUGUUUAAAGAAGCUGAAGCGAGGAGUAUACUGAGGAAAAGGAAGAGGGUAGAAGAGAGAAAGGAAUGUGAGAAUGGUGAGGUCAAUAGACUUGAAGCUUUGUUGGCUGAGGGAAGAAUCUUCUGUGACAUGCCAGCCUUAGCUGACCGAGGCAGCAUUCUUCUGAGGGAUACCCACCUUGAAAACUCUUUGAUUUGCCAGCCGCAGCAAAGGAACAUUCAUGGUCGAAUCUUUGGUGGGUUUUUGAUGCAUCGGGCUUUUGAGUUGGCUUUCUCAACUGCUUAUGCAUUUGCUGGAUUGGUUCCUUACUUUCUAGAAGUUGAUCAUGUUGAUUUCUUAAGACCAGUGGAUGUUGGAGACUUCCUGCGUUUGAAAUCAUGUGUUCUUUACACGGAACUUGAAAACCCAGAGCAGCCUGUGAUUAACAUUGAAGUUGUUGCUCAUGUUACCAGGCCUGAGCUGAGAUCAAGUGAGGUAUCAAAUACAUUUUACUUCUCUUUCACUGUACGUCCCGAGGCAAAAGCCACGAAGAAUGGAUUUAGGUUACGCAAUGUGGUUCCAGCAACGGAAGAAGAAGCACGUCGAAUCCUAGAACGCAUAGAUGCAGAGACCUUACAGACGAGCAAGGCAUAUACAAAUAAGAAAUGUCUUUAACCAUUUAAGAUACUGAAUUCUGAAUUAGGAACAACCUUCACACAACCCACACAUCACUCACUAACUCCCAUCCCACCCAAUAAAAGGUUACUAUAUUUUUAUUAGAAGUAGGGAUGAUAUAAGGUAUAUUCUGGUUAAAAUAAUUGUAGCCUUCAUAUUACAUUACAGGUGUAUGAACUCCCCACUUCAAAAUGAUCUCUGAUCUUGCAAGUUUGAGUUAGGGAUUUUAAGUUUCAUUGUUGGAGAGGGAGAAAAAUGAAGGUAAAAUAAAAUUGCUUUUUUUAGGUAUUUAAG
This 2543-nucleotide unclassified non-coding RNA is filed under the name Hevea brasiliensis (rubber tree). The record is from RNAcentral. Lineage: Eukaryota; Viridiplantae; Streptophyta; Magnoliopsida; Malpighiales; Euphorbiaceae.